RNAcentral lists this ribosomal RNA (497 nucleotides) under uncultured bacterium. RNAcentral describes it as "partial 16S ribosomal RNA". It matches the Rfam family "Bacterial small subunit ribosomal RNA", at positions 28 to 507 of the family's 1533-position model. The record is from RNAcentral.
GAUGAACGCUGGCGGCGUGCCUAAUACAUGCAAGUCGAGCGAACGGACGAGAAGCUUGCUUUUCUGAUGUUAGCGGCGGACGGGUGAGUAACACGUGGAUAACCUACCUAUAAGACUGGGAUAACUUCGGGAAACCGGAGCUAAUACCGGAUAAUAUUUUGAACCGCAUGGUUCAAAAGUGAAAGACGGUCUUGCUGUCACUUAUAGAUGGAUCCGCGCUGCAUUAGCUAGUUGGUAAGGUAACGGCUUACCAAGGCAACGAUGCAUAGCCGACCUGAGAGGCUGAUCCGCCACACUGGAACUGAGACACGGUCCAGACUCCGACGGGAGGCAGCAGUAGGGAAUCUUCCGCAAUGGGCGAAAGCCUGACGGAGCAACGCCGCGUGAGUGAUGAAGGUCUUCGGAUCGUAAAACUCUGUUAUUAGGGAAGAACAUAUGUGUAAGUAACUGUGCACAUCUUGACGGUACCUAAUCAGAAAGCCACGGCUAACUCCGUG